AACCCUGAUGCAGCUAUACCGUGUGUGUGAAGAAGGCCUUAGGGUUGUAAAGCACUUUCAAUGGGGAAGAAUUUAAUAUUGCUAAUAUCGAUAUUAAUUGACGUUACCUAUAUAAGAAGCACCGGCUAACUCCGUGCCAGCAGCCGCGGUAAUACGGAGGGUGCAAGCGUUAAUCGGAAUUACUGGGCGUAAAGAGUACGUAGGUGGUUUGUUAAGUCAGACGUGAAAUCCCUGAGCUUAACUUAGGAACUGCAUUUGAAACUAAUAAACUAGAGUUUCGUAGAGGGGGGUAGAAUUCCGGGUGUAGCGGUGAAAUGCGUAGAGAUCUGGAGGAAUACCAGUGGCGAAGGCGACCCCCUGGACGGAAACUGACACUCAGGUACGAAAGCAUGGGGAGCAAACAGGAUUAGAUACCCUGGUAGUCCAUGCCGUAAACGAUGUCGAUUUGAA
Molecule: ribosomal RNA, 450 nt
Filed under: Blochmannia endosymbiont of Camponotus textor
Lineage: Bacteria; Pseudomonadati; Pseudomonadota; Gammaproteobacteria; Enterobacterales; Enterobacteriaceae
Description: bacterial SSU rRNA
Rfam family: Bacterial small subunit ribosomal RNA
Source: RNAcentral